Long non-coding RNA from Paramormyrops kingsleyae, 599 nucleotides. RefSeq lists it as uncharacterized. NCBI's taxonomy places the organism in Eukaryota, Metazoa, Chordata, Actinopteri, Osteoglossiformes, Mormyridae. The record is from RefSeq and is a predicted model, not a curated record.
AGAUGAGGCAGAGAUGCUAAUGGAACCACAGCAGUAAGCCCUGCAGAUGGAUCACAGGGCUCUAGGUUUGCUGAAGUACGGCCAAGGAACUGGAUUCUCCUUGAGAGGCAGGAAUUCCAAACCACACGAACUUCGUUUAGACACAUCUCAAUGUCACGCUCCUACAUUCUGGGUCCAUUGCCCAAGUUAAUGCAAGAUGAACUAAGAGGAACCAUUCAACACCAACACACCGGAUGUGCAAGAAGCCAGUACACCUUUUGCCGAUGGAGAAACUCCACUACUGACCGUAAGACCCUGAGCCCCCAAGCUGGGAUUCUUCAGCUGGGCUGCAGGCUGCACAGAGAGGGAGUUCUGCAUGGCCCCGGAGGCCUGUUUAAGGCCCAAUGCCUGAAGCUGAGCCUGAGAGGGAGAGGCUGAGGAUGCCCCCUGCUGGCUGCGAAUGGCAAGGUUCUGAACCUGAGAGACAACAUGCAACACAGAUGCACUACAAUCCACGUGUUUUGUGAAGAGUUGGCAUGCGGUACCUGAGCAGAGGAAGACUGUUGACCAGCAGGUAGCGAGGAAGCCUCGGGGUGCACAGUCGUGACGGUGGCGGUGGG